Molecule: ribosomal RNA, 657 nt
Filed under: uncultured bacterium
Lineage: Bacteria
Description: bacterial SSU rRNA
Rfam family: Bacterial small subunit ribosomal RNA
Source: RNAcentral
CGCGGCCUAUCAGCUUGUUGGUGGGGUGAUGGCCUACCAAGGCGACGACGGGUAGCCGGCCUGAGAGGGUGUCCGGCCACACUGGGACUGAGAUACGGCCCAGACUCCUGCGGGAGGCAGCAGUGGGGAAUAUUGCACAAUGGGCGCAAGCCUGAUGCAGCGACGCCGCGUGGGGGAUGACGGCCUUCGGGUUGUAAACCUCUUUCACCAUCGGCGAAGCCCAUAGCUUUUGUUGUGGGUGACGGUAGGUGGAGAAGAAGCACCGGCCAACUACGUGCCAGCAGCCGCGGUAAUACGUAGGGUGCGAGCGUUGUCCGGAAUUACUGGGCGUAAAGAGCUCGUAGGUGGUUUGUCGCGUUGUCCGUGAAAUUCCCUGGCUUAACUGGGGGCGUGCGGGCGAUACGGGCAGACUGGAGUACUGCAGGGGAGACUGGAAUUCCUGGUGUAGCGGUGGAAUGCGCAGAUAUCAGGAGGAACACCGGUGGCGAAGGCGGGUCUCUGGGCAGUAACUGACGCUGAGGAGCGAAAGCGUGGGGAGCGAACAGGAUUAGAUACCCUGGUAGUCCACGCCGUAAACGGUGGGUACUAGGUGUGGGUUUCCUUCCUUGGGAUCCGUGCCGUAGCUAACGCAUUAAGUACCCCGCCUGGGGAGUACGG